This 592-nucleotide ribosomal RNA is filed under the name uncultured Alphaproteobacteria bacterium. RNAcentral's name for it is "bacterial SSU rRNA". It matches the Rfam family "Bacterial small subunit ribosomal RNA", at positions 108 to 734 of the family's 1533-position model. The record is from RNAcentral. Lineage: Bacteria; Pseudomonadati; Pseudomonadota; Alphaproteobacteria.
GAGUAACGCGUGGGAACGUGCCCUUUGGUUCGGAACAACACAGGGAAACUUGUGCUAAUACCGAAUGUGCCCUUCGGGGGAAAGAUUUAUCGCCAUUGGAGCGGCCCGCGUUGGAUUAGGUAGUUGGUGGGGUAAAGGCCCACCAAGCCGACGAUCCAUAGCUGGUCUGAGAGGAUGAUCAGCCACACUGGGACUGAGACACGGCCCAGACUCCUACGGGAGGCAGCAGUAGGGAAUCUUGCGCAAUGGGCGAAAGCCUGACGCAGCCAUGCCGCGUGAAUGAUGAAGGUCUUAGGAUUGUAAAAUUCUUUCACCGGGGAAGAUAAUGACGGUACCCGGAGAAGAAGCCCCGGCUAACUUCGUGCCAGCAGCCGCGGUAAUACGAAGGGGGCUAGCGUUGCUCGGAAUUACUGGGCGUAAAGGGCGCGUAGGCGGAUAGUUUAGUCAGAGGUGAAAGCCCAGGGCUCAACCUUGGAACUGCCUUUGAUACUGGCUAUCUUGAGUUCGGGAGAGGUGAGUGGAAUGCCGAGUGUAGAGGUGAAAUUCGUAGCUAUUCGGCGGAACACNCAGUGGCGAAGGCGACUCACUGGCC